UCGGGAAUUUUGGGCAAUGGGCGAAAGCCUGACCCAGCAACGCCGCGUGAGGGAUGAAGUAUUUCGGUAUGUAAACCUCGAAAGAAUGGGAAGAAUAAAUGACGGUACCAUUUAUAAGCUCCGGCUAACUACGUGCCAGCAGCCGCGGUAAUACGUAGGGAGCAAGCGUUGUUCGGCUUUACUGGGCGUAAAGGGCGCGUAGGCGGCGCGGUAAGUCACUUGUGAAAUCUCUGAGCUUAACUCAGAACGGCCAAGUGAUACUGCUGUGCUAGAGUGCGGAAGAGGCAACCGGAAUUCUUGGUGUAGCGGUGUAAUGCGUAGAUAUCAAGAGGAACACCUGAGGCGAAGGCGGGUUGCUGGGCCGACACUGACGCUGAUGCGCGAAAGCCAGGGGAGCAAACG
Molecule: ribosomal RNA, 402 nt
Filed under: uncultured bacterium
Lineage: Bacteria
Description: bacterial SSU rRNA
Rfam family: Bacterial small subunit ribosomal RNA
Source: RNAcentral